UUGACAGCACUGGAAACUGAAGGCCUCUAUUUAUCCACAGACCAGGUACAAUACGGCCAGUGGCAGUGCAAGCUUCCGACACUGCCCUGCCAUGUGCCUCAGCUCCAUUUCUGAGAGACCCAUUGCGGUGCAAGCUUGUCUAGUUCCCAUCCUUGUCUAGUUUUUUAUUUCU
This 172-nucleotide small RNA is filed under the name Phascolarctos cinereus (koala). RNAcentral describes it as "TUC338 (ENSPCIG00000026286.2)". The record is from RNAcentral. Lineage: Eukaryota; Metazoa; Chordata; Mammalia; Diprotodontia; Phascolarctidae.